GGGUCUGUAGCUCAGCUGGUUAGAGCACUGCCUUGAUAAGGCAGGGGUCGUUGGUUCGAGUCCAACCAGACCCACCA
Molecule: transfer RNA, 77 nt
Filed under: Aalborgiella aggregata (SeqCode)
Lineage: Bacteria; Pseudomonadati; Pseudomonadota; Betaproteobacteria; Burkholderiales; Comamonadaceae
Also listed under: 1 other name
Description: Candidatus Aalborgiella aggregata tRNA-Ile
Rfam family: tRNA
About the family: Transfer RNA (tRNA) molecules are approximately 80 nucleotides in length. Their secondary structure includes four short double-helical elements and three loops (D, anti-codon, and T loops).
Source: RNAcentral